This 218-nucleotide ribosomal RNA is filed under the name uncultured bacterium. RNAcentral describes it as "partial 16S ribosomal RNA". It matches the Rfam family "Bacterial small subunit ribosomal RNA", at positions 30 to 244 of the family's 1533-position model. The record is from RNAcentral.
AUUGAACGCUGGCGGCAGGCCUAACACAUGCAUGUCGAACGGUAGCACAGAGAGCUUGCUCUCGGGUGACGAGUGGCGGACGGGUGAGUAAUGUCUGGGAAACUGUCUGGUGGAGGGGGAUAACUACUGGAAACGGUAGCUAAUACCGCAUAAUGUCGCAAGACCAAAGAGGGGGACCUUAGGGCCUCUUGCCAUCAGAUGUGCCCAGAUGGGAUUAG